Molecule: ribosomal RNA, 484 nt
Filed under: uncultured bacterium
Lineage: Bacteria
Description: partial 16S ribosomal RNA
Rfam family: Bacterial small subunit ribosomal RNA
Source: RNAcentral
GAUGAACGCUGGCGGCGUGCUUAACACAUGCAAGUCGAACGGUGAAGCAGGAGCUUGCUCUUGUGGAUCAGUGGCGAACGGGUGAGUAACACGUGAGCAACCUGCCCCUGACUCUGGGAUAAGCGCUGGAAACGGCGUCUAAUACUGGAUAUGUGAUGUGACCGCAUGGUCUGCAUCUGGAAAGAAUUUCGGUUGGGGAUGGGCUCGCGGCCUAUCAGCUUGUUGGUGGGGUAAUGGCUCACCAAGGCGUCGACGGGUAGCCGGCCUGAGAGGGUGACCGGCCACACUGGGACUGAGACGCGGCCCAGACUCCUACGGGAGGCAGCAGUGGGGAAUAUUGCACAAUGGGCGGAAGCCUGAUGCAGCAACGCCGCGUGAGGGAUGACGGCCUUCGGGUUGUAAACCUCUUUUAGCAGGGAAGAAGCGAAAGUGACGGUACCUGCAGAAAAAGCACCGGCUAACUACGUGCCAGCCGCCGCAGUAA